This 497-nucleotide ribosomal RNA is filed under the name uncultured bacterium. RNAcentral's name for it is "partial 16S ribosomal RNA". It matches the Rfam family "Bacterial small subunit ribosomal RNA", at positions 28 to 507 of the family's 1533-position model. The record is from RNAcentral.
GAUGAACGCUGGCGGCGUGCCUAAUACAUGCAAGUCGAGCGAACAGACGAGGAGCUUGCUCCUCUGACGUUAGCGGCGGACGGGUGAGUAACACGUGGAUAACCUACCUAUAAGACUGGGAUAACUUCGGGAAACCGGAGCUAAUACCGGAUAAUAUAUUGAACCGCAUGGUUCAAUAGUGAAAGACGGUUUUGCUGUCACUUAUAGGUGGAUCCGCGCCGCAUUAGCUAGUUGGUAAGGUAACGGCUUACCAAGGCAACGAUGCGUAGCCGACCUGAGAGGAUGAUCGGCCACACUGGAACUGAGACACGGUCCAGACUCCUACGGGAGGCAGCAGUAGGGAAUCUUCCGCAAUGGGCGAAAGCCUGACGGAGCAACGCCGCGUGAGUGAUGAAGGUCUUCGGAUCGUAAAACUCUGUUAUUAGGGAAGAACAAAUGUGUAAGUAACUAUGCACGUCUUGACGGUACCUAAUCAGAAAGCCACGGCUAACUACGUG